RNAcentral lists this non-coding RNA (22 nucleotides) under Rattus norvegicus (Norway rat). Lineage: Eukaryota; Metazoa; Chordata; Mammalia; Rodentia; Muridae. The record is from RNAcentral.
AGCUAAGGAUGAUCUAAGUUAU